This 60-nucleotide microRNA precursor is filed under the name Tetraodon nigroviridis (spotted green pufferfish). Its description in RNAcentral is "Tni-Novel-3_pre stem-loop". The record is from RNAcentral. Lineage: Eukaryota; Metazoa; Chordata; Actinopteri; Tetraodontiformes; Tetraodontidae.
UGGCUCUUUUGCUGCAGCUCGUACCAGUUUUGCAGCUGCAGCUGUUUCAGAAGAGUUUCA